Molecule: long non-coding RNA, 835 nt
Filed under: Rattus norvegicus (Norway rat)
Lineage: Eukaryota; Metazoa; Chordata; Mammalia; Rodentia; Muridae
Description: long non-coding RNA NONRATT009303
Source: RNAcentral
GUUCGCGGGAGAGUGGGGACUCUGGGAGCCACCGGCUGCUCCAUCCCGGGUCCGGCCCACUUCCGCCGGGCUGCUGUGUGGUCUCCUGGGUCACUUACCUGCACCCGGUGCCAUUCAGUGAAAUGCAAGUGUACCUGAUCCACGAAGUGCAUUGUUACUAAAGGUAUGGGGAUGUUUUACCUACAUGUAUGUAAGUGCCCCAUGUUCCUGCCUGGUGUCUUCAAAGGCUGUCGGAUCCCCUUGAAUUGGAACUAUGGACUGUAUUGAGCUCCCAACUGGGUGCUGGCAUGGAACCUGUAUUCUCUGAAAGAACAGAUUUCUCGGCCCCUGGUGUUUAAACAAACCUCAGUAAAAUGACUCUGCAGGAGUUGGUUCAUCAGGCUGCCUCCAUCUAUCUGGAUAGAACAGCUGUAUGCUUUGAUGAAGGCAACAACCAGCCCCCGGUGUGCUAUACCUACAAGGCUCUGCUGAGCGAGGCUUCAGAAUUAUCCGCUUUUCUGCUAGCACACUGUGACCUUGGAGGAAUUCGGGAAAUUGGUCUCUAUUGUCAACCUGGGAUAAACUUACCCUCCUGGAUUUUAGGGUAAUGUUUCUAGUAUAAACUGGUAUUCCUCUAAGCUAAUUUAUAGUUUUUAGUACAUAGUAUAUAUUGUAAGCUAUUGUUUUACUUACUAUCAGAUUCUUCUGUGUUAGCUUGUCAUUUUCUAAAGACGGUGAAGUACACUUUCCUUCUGGUAUUUUUUUUAUUAAUUUUCAAAUUAACAGUUAAUUUUAACCUGUUAAGGAAAGACUAAAAGUUUUUACUAAUAAAAUAUGUAAAUAUCUCCAAAGUAUA